This 493-nucleotide long non-coding RNA is filed under the name Jatropha curcas. RNAcentral describes it as "long non-coding RNA (JCUR_LNC000274)". Lineage: Eukaryota; Viridiplantae; Streptophyta; Magnoliopsida; Malpighiales; Euphorbiaceae. The record is from RNAcentral.
GCUUUUUAUUCCAGAGUAGUAGUAGCUCCAACACCAGCCCCUGCACCACCAGUGGUCAAGCCACCCAUCACUAAUCCACCAGUAGUGAACCCUAGUCCGCCGGUAGUCAAGCCACCAGUUUAUUCUCCACCAGUGGUCAAGCCACCCAUCACUAAUCCACCAGUAGUGAAACCUAGUCCGCCGGUAGUCAAGCCACCAGUUUAUUCUCCACCAGUGGUCAAGCCACCCAUCACUAAUCCACCAGUGGUGAAACCUAGUCCCCCGGUAGUCAAGCCACCAGUUUCUUCUCCACCAGUGGUCAAGCCACCAACUCCUACCACACCGGUCGUCAAGCCACCAGUUUCUUCUCCACCAGUGGUCAAGCCACCAACUCCUACCCCACCAGUCGUCAAGCCACCAGUUGCUACCCCGCCAGUGACCAAACCCCCCACUCCUUCACCACCACUAACCAAGCCACCAAGUAGUCCUGCACCAGUAACCAAACCACCCACCA